CAUCACCAUCACCAUCACCAUCAUUAAUUUCCAAUUGAAGUGGAAGGAGAUUGAACCAGUAUCUGGGGAGCUUCUGAUGCAGAGUUUUCUGGUUGUACUAAUGGGGAGGAUUCAGCUUGGCUUGGCAUUGCAGCCUGGACUAUUUCUGGUGGUUUGAACUUGUUGAUAUAGUAACUGAGAGAUGGUCCAGAGUAUUCAACUGUUUGCAUCGCAGUUGGUGCCUUACCAACUUGGAUGAGAAUUGAUGAAGCUGCAGCCACAGAAAUCAGGGCAAGGCCAGCAGAAAUUGCUUUUGUGUUUUCAGCUCCAUCGGCAGAAGUACCUGCAGUUCCUGAGCUUAUUGCACUUUUUGCUAUGUAUACCGUUGGCUCAACAGAGUAAAUAUUUGUCUGCCCUGCAGUAUCCUUCUCAACAUAUCCAGUCCAACCACGAGUUCGUGGUGGGAAUGUUCCAACCACUCUGGUUUUCUCCCCAGCCAGCCAUUCCACACUCACCUUGCCAACCUCCUUAUCAGGAGCACAUUCUUCAUCGUUGCAAUCAGCAUCAUCAGAUGAAACUCUAACUGUAAAAAGCUUCAAAUUUUGCCUAUUUA
Molecule: unclassified non-coding RNA, 592 nt
Filed under: Hevea brasiliensis (rubber tree)
Lineage: Eukaryota; Viridiplantae; Streptophyta; Magnoliopsida; Malpighiales; Euphorbiaceae
Source: RNAcentral